This 434-nucleotide ribosomal RNA is filed under the name uncultured bacterium. Its description in RNAcentral is "partial 16S ribosomal RNA". It matches the Rfam family "Bacterial small subunit ribosomal RNA", at positions 29 to 507 of the family's 1533-position model. The record is from RNAcentral.
AGCGAACGCUGGCGGCAGGCCUAACACAUGCAAGUCGAACGAACCUUUCGGGGUUAGUGGCGGACGGGUGAGUAACAAGUGGGAACGUGCCUUUAGGUUCGGAAUAACUCAGGGAAACUUGUGCUAAUACCGAAUGUGCCCUUCGGGGGAAAGAUUUAUCGCCUUUAGAGCGGCCCGCGUCUGAUUAGCUAGUUGGUUGAGGUAAUGGCUCACCAAGGCGACGAUCAGUAGCUGGUCUGAGAGGAUGAUCAGCCACAUUGGGACUGAGACGCGGCCCAAACUCCUACGGGAGGCAGCAGUGGGGAAUCUUGCGCAAUGGGCGAAAGCCUGACGCAGCCAUGCCGCGUGAAUGAUGAAGGUCUUAGGAUUGUAAAAUUCUUUCACCGGGGACGAUAAUGACGGUACCCGGAGAAGAAGCCCCGGCUAACUUCGUG